Long non-coding RNA from Sapajus apella (tufted capuchin), 188 nucleotides. RefSeq lists it as uncharacterized. The transcript has 2 exons. The record is from RefSeq and is a predicted model, not a curated record. Lineage: Eukaryota; Metazoa; Chordata; Mammalia; Primates; Cebidae.
GCUGUGAAGUAGUCCGUGAAGCCAGCAAAGGACUGAAUGGCACCUGGACAGAGGCAAGGGGACACAGGGAGACAGAGAUGGACACAGAGACAAGGACACAGGAAGAAAGGCACAUGGAGAGACAGGGACGCAGGAACAGUGACAGACACAGAGCAGCAGAAACAGAAGCAGGGACAGAGCGAAAAAGA